Triticum aestivum (bread wheat) is the source of this 115-nucleotide non-coding RNA. The record is from Rfam. Lineage: Eukaryota; Viridiplantae; Streptophyta; Magnoliopsida; Poales; Poaceae.
CUUGUACUCCCUCCGUCCCAAAUUACUUGUCGCAGAAAUGGAUGUAUCUAGAACUAAAAUACAUCUAGAUACAUCCAUACUUGCGACAAGUAAUUUGGAACGGAGGGAGUAAUAG